This 24-nucleotide non-coding RNA is filed under the name Arabidopsis thaliana (thale cress). The record is from RNAcentral. Lineage: Eukaryota; Viridiplantae; Streptophyta; Magnoliopsida; Brassicales; Brassicaceae.
GAGACUGCGGCAAACAACACUGGA